GAUGAAGAACGUAGCAAAAUGCGAUAAGUAAUGUGAAUUGCAGAAUUCAGUGAAUCAUCGAAUCUUUGAACGCACAUUGCGCCCGCCAGUAUUCUGGCGGGCAUGCCUGUUCGAGCGUCAUUUCAACCCUCAAGCUCAGCUUGGUGUUGGGACUCGCGUUAAUUCGCGUUCCCCAAAUUGAUUGGCGGUCACGUCGAGCUUCCAUAGCGUAGUAGUAAAACCCUCGUUACUGGUAAUCGUCGCGGCCACGCCGUUAAACCCCAACUUCUGAAUGUUGACCUCGGAUCAGGUAGGAAUACCCGCUGAACUUAAGCAUAUCAAUAAGCGGAGGA
RNAcentral lists this unclassified non-coding RNA (332 nucleotides) under soil metagenome. RNAcentral describes it as "partial contains 5.8S ribosomal RNA, internal transcribed spacer 2, and large subunit ribosomal RNA". The stretch from base 1 to 120 matches the Rfam family "5.8S ribosomal RNA", at positions 35 to 154 of the family's 154-position model. The record is from RNAcentral.